AACUGGGGCUAAGUCGUAACAAGGUAGCCGUACCGGAAGGUGCGGCUGGAACACCUCCUUUCUAGAG
Molecule: ribosomal RNA, 67 nt
Filed under: Flavobacterium supellecticarium
Lineage: Bacteria; Pseudomonadati; Bacteroidota; Flavobacteriia; Flavobacteriales; Flavobacteriaceae
Description: Flavobacterium sp. CC-CTC003 partial 16S ribosomal RNA
Rfam family: Bacterial small subunit ribosomal RNA
Source: RNAcentral